This 313-nucleotide long non-coding RNA is filed under the name Populus trichocarpa (black cottonwood). Its description in RNAcentral is "long non-coding RNA (PTRI_LNC004121)". The record is from RNAcentral. Lineage: Eukaryota; Viridiplantae; Streptophyta; Magnoliopsida; Malpighiales; Salicaceae.
UAAUAUUACAAUUAGGUGGAGGUGGAAUUAGGUGUCAUGUAUUGUGAUGUAUUAACGCAGUCAAUUCAGAGGACAUGGCAGUGCGCCAGUUGGAAUUAGUGAGGCUUUAGAGAUACUCGUAGGUUUCAAGGAGGGUGGAAGAGGGUGUUUAGUGACUACAAAAGAUUUUUUUGGCUUAUAUAUAUCAUUCAUGGAUCGAGUGGUCAUUCUAUAGAUGCACACUUUUGUAUAGGAGAACAUGGAGUACUUACCUGGCGGGGAAGAGAUGCAGGGGAUGAUCCAUUCACAGAUGAGUACUUACCUGGCGGGGAAG